Long non-coding RNA from Micropterus dolomieu (smallmouth bass), 994 nucleotides. RefSeq lists it as uncharacterized. The transcript has 4 exons. NCBI's taxonomy places the organism in Eukaryota, Metazoa, Chordata, Actinopteri, Centrarchiformes, Centrarchidae. The record is from RefSeq and is a predicted model, not a curated record.
GUGUUUUGACUGGGACUUACUUGGUGGUGGUUUGUGACUGUCUGAGGUCGCCGGUGGUAGCUUGGCGCUGUCAGACCCCUUUGAUUCCCUCAUCCGCCGGAGCACAUCCUCUGAGAGCUGGACAGGAACGUGACAAUUGACUAAAUGUGCACACAAACACACACCAGCCCCUUGGUGCGCGUACGGGACAGCUGUGUGUCUUGGAAAGUAGCAGAUUAAAUGGCUCACUGGUUAAAGAGACCAUCCUCCAGGCCAGGUGAAGUGCCCUUGAGCAAUAAUUUAAGUGACAACCAGAUCCAGAUGUGCUGCUGUACACAGUUGUACCUCUGGUCCUCCUCAUAGCACAUAGCAGAGCACUGCCCAGGCCCUGGACGAGGUUCAGUAGAGACAGGAUGGCAGCAUACACAUAGAAACUCCUCUUAGCUGGUUAAAGGAAGCAAAAUGGACAACAGAGGACAAACACGUUAGAUUACAUGACAUCAUGCAGAGUUUUAGGUUACUGACCAGGAAGAAGAAGCUGGAGCUGGCCAGCCAGAAGUGCCGUCCUCCGUGACCGUAGAUGUUGAAGUCCUCAGCGGACAGGUGACUGUCUGGAUACAGGAUCUCUAGUGUGCCCUAGAACAAUGUCUCAUUCAUUAUAAUUGCAUACAGAAUGACAAUUUACCGAUUGUCAGUUUACCAGUGACGCGUUUAAACAUUGUUUCACCUCUUAUCACCUGUCAUUACCUGUGUGAUGGAGUAGCCCAGAGCCAGCACAGCAGUGAUAGCCAGCACACGCUUAAUACUGGACUUGCUCUCCAGGUGACCUGAUGAAUGAAUAAAGAAAAGAGGCUUGACAGAAACAAAAAGCUGUACAGACUUUCAGUUACAGUCAUGGUUAGGUUCAGGGCUGAAAAGGAUAAACUAUAAAAAGGGACGUUUGAAAUGGAUCAUGUGAAAAGAGAGAGAAAUACCAAAUUGGUUCAAACAUACAGUAAAUGAGAACUGAAACCAG